Molecule: ribosomal RNA, 252 nt
Filed under: uncultured bacterium
Lineage: Bacteria
Description: partial 16S ribosomal RNA
Rfam family: Bacterial small subunit ribosomal RNA
Source: RNAcentral
UACGAAGGGGGCUAGCGUUGUUCGGAUUUACUGGGCGUAAAGAGCUCGUAGGCGGUUUGUCGCGUCUGCUGUGAAAACUGGAGGCUCAACCUCCAGCCUGCAGUGGGUACGGGCAAACUAGAGUGCGGUAGGGGAGAUUGGAAUUCCUGGUGUAGCGGUGGAAUGCGCAGAUAUCAGGAGGAACACCUGUGGCGAAGGCGGCUCGCUGGGCCGGUCCUGACGCUGAACGCGAAGGCGUGGGGAGCGAACGGG